Molecule: ribosomal RNA, 447 nt
Filed under: uncultured bacterium
Lineage: Bacteria
Description: bacterial SSU rRNA
Rfam family: Bacterial small subunit ribosomal RNA
Source: RNAcentral
GGCCAGACUCCUACGGGAGGCAGCAGUGGGGAAUAUUGCACAAUGGGGGAAACCCUGAUGCAGCGACGCCGCGUGAGUGAGGAAGUAUUUCGGUAUGUAAAGCUCUAUCAGCAGGGAAGAAAAUGACGGUACCUGACUAAGAAGCCCCGGCUAACUACGUGCCAGCAGCCGCGGUAAUACGUAGGGGGCAAGCGUUAUCCGGAUUUACUGGGUGUAAAGGGGGCGCAGACGGCGAUGCAAGCCAGGAGUGAAAGCCCGGGGCCCAACCCCGGGACUGCUCUUGGAACUGCGUGGCUGGAGUGCAGGAGGGGCAGGCGGAAUUCCUGGUGUAGCGGUGAAAUGCGUAGAUAUCAGGAGGAACACCGGUGGCGAAGGCGGCCUGCUGGACUGCAACUGACGUUGAGGCCCGAAAGCGUGGGGAGCAAACAGGAUUAGAUACCCCUGUAG